UUUUUCAAUCAGGUGUAGGGUCUGAAAUAACUCAUAAAUUGAAGUGUUGUCUAUCAGCUUCAUCUCUUGUUACUGGUGGAGACCGGAGUCAAACAACAACACUGCACCU
Molecule: small nucleolar RNA, 109 nt
Organism: Malus domestica (apple)
Lineage: Eukaryota; Viridiplantae; Streptophyta; Magnoliopsida; Rosales; Rosaceae
Product: small nucleolar RNA snoR97
Source: RefSeq, a predicted model, not a curated record